This 913-nucleotide long non-coding RNA is filed under the name Anser brachyrhynchus (Pink-footed goose). Its description in RNAcentral is "lncRNA (ENSABRG00000002045.1)". Lineage: Eukaryota; Metazoa; Chordata; Aves; Anseriformes; Anatidae. The record is from RNAcentral.
UGUCUUCUGCUAUUGCAUGAGGAAUGACAGCAGUUUUCUAAGAGGCUCACAAGCAACUCGGGGGAAUAAUGUCCUUAGGCGCCCUCUGACUGGCUUGCAGCCCUGGCACCCUGCACCUCUGCGUUAACCCCAUAUCAGACCAGAGCUGCAGCACCCCCCUGACGGCACUUCGAGCGAUCAGUACUUUCAGCAUCCACCCUCCUCUCUGGGCGAGAUUCCUGCGAAACUGCAGCUCCCACAGCUUGCCUGAGAAAAAUCUCAUGGAUACGGCGGCCGUGAGCGUGGUGGGAAGAGAGAUCUGCCAUCUGCUUCUAGGAACAGAUGAGGUGGAUGUGCAGAGGCUGACGACAGACCACAGUCCUGCGUUCUCUGUUGCAUCUCUGCUCUCUGCCUACCUGAAGAGUACAGUGUGUCCCCACGGCCCAGCGCAGAGCAGAACAACACCUUCUCCAGAAGCCAGCACGCUCUCAGAGGCAGAGGACCAAGGCAAUACCAAAGCUGGGCUACCCACCAUAAUGCAGCACCUCACCUGCAGCUUUUAAGAGGUGCACGCACCUAUGCCUGAACACGGAGAAACAAGCUUUGUCGUAGGCCUUGGACAGCUUCACAGCUCUUUGGUCAGGCUUGUAAAAGAGGCUCCUGGUUCUACAACAUGCCCCAGGGGCUAGCUAUUGUCUGCUCUUGCAUUACAGCUUCUUCACAAAAGCCUCAGUCCACCAAAGUUGCCUUCAAGUUUUGCCAGGGAUGUUCCGAGGGCAAAAAGCUCCCUUUUUUUUUUUGCAACACUUCUAGACUGAGACUCGUCCCUUCUGCUGGGUGAACAGCCUCACUUGGGAGCGAACUGGCUGUAGAACCUCAGGAAGGAGGGAACCUAGCAGCUGCAUUCAAUAAAGAGGUUAAGCUAGGAACCUCA